Molecule: microRNA precursor, 156 nt
Filed under: Prunus dulcis (almond)
Lineage: Eukaryota; Viridiplantae; Streptophyta; Magnoliopsida; Rosales; Rosaceae
Description: sRNA ncRNA
Source: RNAcentral
UGGUGGGAAUGAGAGAGAGAUGAGAGGGGAGGAUAAGAGGAAAGAGUAACAAAACAGAAAACAAUUUCAAAUAUAUUUCAGUUUUUAGUUUUUGUUUUCACUUUUGUUACUCCUCCUUCCCAUUCUCCCCUCUCAUCUUCCCUCUCAGUCUUCACU